AGGACGAACGCUGGCGGCGUGCUUAACACAUGCAAGUGGAGCGACGAACCAGGGCUUGCCCUGGGGCAGAGCCGCGAACGGGUGAGUAACACGUGGGUUACCUGCCUCGAUGACCGGGACAACCCGAGGAAAACUCGGGCUAAUACCGGAUGUGCCCGCAAGGGGAAAGGAAGCUUCGGCCUCCGCAUCGAGAUGGGCCCGCGGCCCAUUAGCUUGUUGGUGAGGUAACGGCUUACCAAGGCUUCGAUGGGUAGCUGGUCUGAGAGGACGAUCAGCCACACUGGGACUGAGACACGGCCCAGACUCCUACGGGAGGCAGCAGUGGGGAAUCUUGCGCAAUGCGCGAAAGCGUGACGCAGCAACGCCGCGUGGGGGAAGAAGGCUUUCGGGUUGUAAACCCCUUUCAGCAGGGCGAUUGUGACGGUACCUGCAGAAGAAGCACCGGCAACUACGUGCCAGCAGCCGC
RNAcentral lists this ribosomal RNA (466 nucleotides) under uncultured bacterium. RNAcentral describes it as "SSU rRNA". It matches the Rfam family "Bacterial small subunit ribosomal RNA", at positions 26 to 518 of the family's 1533-position model. The record is from RNAcentral.